UGGGGAAAUUGCACAAUGGGCGAAAGCCUGAUGCAGCGACGCCGCGUGAGGGAUGACGGCCUUCGGGUUGUAAACCUCUUUCAGCAGGGAAGAAGCGAAAGUGACGGUACCUGCAGAAGAAGCGCCGGCUAACUACGUGCCAGCAGCCGCGGUAAUACGUAGGGCGCAAGCGUUGUCCGGAAUUAUUGGGCGUAAAGAGCUCGUAGGCGGUUAGUCGCGUCUGCUGUGAAAACUCGAGGCUCAACCUCGGGCUUGCAGUGGGUACGGGCUGACUAGAGUGCGGUAGGGGUGACUGGAAUUCCUGGUGUAGCGGUGGAAUGCGCAGAUAUCAGGAGGAACACCGAUGGCGAAGGCAGGUCACUGGGCCGCAACUGACGCUGAGGAGCGAAAGCAUGGGGAGCGAACAGGAUUAGAUACCCUGGUAGUCCAUGCCGU
RNAcentral lists this ribosomal RNA (435 nucleotides) under uncultured bacterium. RNAcentral describes it as "partial 16S ribosomal RNA". It matches the Rfam family "Bacterial small subunit ribosomal RNA", at positions 356 to 803 of the family's 1533-position model. The record is from RNAcentral.